This 355-nucleotide unclassified non-coding RNA is filed under the name soil metagenome. RNAcentral describes it as "partial contains 5.8S ribosomal RNA, internal transcribed spacer 2, and large subunit ribosomal RNA". The stretch from base 1 to 120 matches the Rfam family "5.8S ribosomal RNA", at positions 35 to 154 of the family's 154-position model. The record is from RNAcentral.
GAUGAAGAACGUAGCGAAAUGCGAUAAGUAAUGUGAAUUGCAGAAUUCAGUGAAUCAUCGAAUCUUUGAACGCACAUUGCGCCCAUUAGUAUUCUAGUGGGCAUGCCUGUUCGAGCGUCAUUAAGUCCACUUAAGCCCUGCUUAGUGUUGGGAGACUGCUCCAGCGGUGCUACCCUGUAGCUACCCUGCAGCUCCUCAAAGACAGCGGCGGAGUUGUGGUAUCCUCUGAGCUUAGUAACUUGUUCUAGCUUUCGAGUACACCACUUCCCCUGCCGUAAAACCCUUAAUUUUUAAUGGUUGACCUCGGAUCUGGUAGGAAUACCCGCUGAACUUAAGCAUAUCAAUAAGCGGAGGA